AGGAAAAAAAGUAUCAAUUUUCCAGCUGAGGAUCAAGAUGAAAAUCACUCCAAGAGAGAUUGGAUGAUAGAGAAGGUGCAGGAAUGAACAACCAAAAGCCAGAAGCAGGAAGUCGAAUAUUGUUGCAGAUCAAAAAAUAUACUUCCUUCAAAAAGAAAAAGGACUCAAUAACACCUAUAUUUUCCACUGGGAUGUUCCACUUAGCAGGAGUUAGGUACAGUAUACAUUCAGGCCAAUAACACAUUCAA
Tachyglossus aculeatus (Australian echidna) is the source of this 248-nucleotide long non-coding RNA. RefSeq lists it as uncharacterized. The transcript is spliced from 3 exons. Lineage: Eukaryota; Metazoa; Chordata; Mammalia; Monotremata; Tachyglossidae. The record is from RefSeq and is a predicted model, not a curated record.